Molecule: long non-coding RNA, 323 nt
Filed under: Malus domestica (apple)
Lineage: Eukaryota; Viridiplantae; Streptophyta; Magnoliopsida; Rosales; Rosaceae
Description: long non-coding RNA (MDOM_LNC012442)
Source: RNAcentral
CGUGAUUUUUUCUAAAAAUUUGUGUGAGUUCGUAUCAUCGAGUAGAUCACGUUCGCAUAUUCAAACUUUACAUUUGAGCAAACUAUGAGGAGUUAUUUUUGGAUUUCGUAUAUGUGCUAACUAAUUAACGUAAAAAUAGUUGUAUCACAUAUAGGUGAGAUGUAUCCCGAGGACGAGAGUGGACAAGCGAAGCUAGGGGCUACGAUCCUGCUACUUAUCAGUGAGUGGGCAUUUGUUUUCUAUGUAUAUAUAUAUAUACAUACAUGGUUUCUAGAAACGUUUUUAUAUGGAAUUAUGCUUUGCUUGCCAUGUCAUAAAUAAGU